AUGAAAAUUGUUUAUGAGGUUAAUCUACAACCAGCUGUAUCCUGGUAUUUUCCACAUCGUUCUAUGUUCCUUCUUUUUUUUUUAAUUGUUUGGAUUGCUUACCAUGUGUGUGACCUGGUUUUCUAUUCCCCUUCUCAACCUCACCCUGGAGCCUCACGGCCAAAAAGAAAAAAAGAAAAGACUCAUCGUCGACCCGGGCAUACCCGAGCCCUGGUAGGUUUGGCUCUCCUCCCUCGGGCGGCGGCGGCGGCGGCGGCGGCUGAAUCUCCUGCCACCGGAGUCCCUUCUCUUUACCGGCCGGUGGAUUGGCUCCACCCUCCCUCCCAAAUCCCCCGCCCCCGAUCUUCCUCCUCCUCCGCGCCCUACAUCGCCCCCGGCGCCUGAGCACACGGACGCCGUCCUCCUCCUCGCCUACGACGCCGCCGCCCCCUACCUCCUUCAUCCAACGCCGCCUACCGCCCUGCUUCACUUCCGACACCGCUGGCCCGCCCUGCUUCGCCUCCGAAUCCAAGUAUAGGGUCAGUGGCCCAGCUUCUGCAAAUGCUUCAAGGCAGCGGCAUCUCCAACCAGAAGACCUUGUAUGAAGUUCUAUCUGUGCCUGAAGAUGCUACAUAUGACGAGAUACGUGCAGCAUACAAGUGUGCUGCUUUAAACACACAUCCUGACAAAGCACAGGCGACUCUCGAACCAUCUGUGUCUACCGGCGAGCAACAUGGUUUUUUCAGUGUACAGAAGGCAUGGGAAACCCUACGCUACCCCAAAUGUCGAGCAGAGUAUGAUAAACAACUACAAUCGUCCAGACAGAGCCUUGAUGUCAUCGCAACCGAUAUCGAAAUCGAGGAUAUGAUCAUUGAAAGCUCUGGCGAUGGCGUUGAGCUAUUGUACGCCUGUAGAUGCGGCGAUUAUUUUUCGAUCACAGCCUGCGAACUUGGUGAAAUGGGAAUUUCGGUGAGUGAAGAUGGGGAAAUAGAAGCGCAGGCACCUGAUUCUUUACCAACGUCUGUUGUUCUGGGCUGUGGCUCAUGUUCUCUUAAAACAAGGCUGAUUAUAAAUAAAGCUUGAUUCGUUGUACUGAUUUGAACACCUUCUACCCUGCUUUUUUGAAGCACCUCCGAUCAUGGUCGACAUAGCGUGUACUGCUGGCACUGGCAUAUUCACUCCUCUGUACCUGAGCUCCUGAUGGUUGUAUUGAGAUGAUGAUGUUUUUGACCAUUGUGCUCAGCUAACCGCCUUUGUCGAUUCAAGUCGCUGUGGGUUGUUAUCUGUACGUCUCAUUCCGUUAAUUUUGCUUAUUAUUGGCUAUGACUUGAUGCUCCCUCACCUGUCGCUGGUUCUGAUGUUCACAUGUACGACAGCUGAGGUGAAUGCUUGCUGC
Molecule: ribosomal RNA, 1375 nt
Filed under: Triticum aestivum (bread wheat)
Lineage: Eukaryota; Viridiplantae; Streptophyta; Magnoliopsida; Poales; Poaceae
Description: partial small subunit ribosomal RNA
Source: RNAcentral